RNAcentral lists this ribosomal RNA (334 nucleotides) under uncultured bacterium. RNAcentral's name for it is "bacterial SSU rRNA". It matches the Rfam family "Bacterial small subunit ribosomal RNA", at positions 28 to 361 of the family's 1533-position model. The record is from RNAcentral.
GACGAACGCUGGCGGCGUGCUUAACACAUGCAAGUCGAGCGGUAAGGCCCUUUCGGGGGUACGACGAGCGGCGAACGGGUGAGUAACACGUGGGUGGACCUGCCCUCAGCUCUGGGAUAAGCCUGGGAAACCGGGUCUAAUACCGGAUAUGACUCCAUGACGCAUGUUGUGGGGUGGAAAGCCUUGUGCGGCUGAGGAUGGGCCCGCGGCCUAUCAGCUUGUUGGUGGGGUGAUGGCCUACCAAGGCGACGACGGGUAGCCGGCCUGAGAGGGCGACCGGCCACACUGGGACUGAGACACGGCCCAGACUCCUACGGGAGGCAGCAGUGGGGAA